GCCUGGGUGGCUCAGUCGGUUGGGCGUCUGACUUCGGCUCAGGUUAUGCUCUCGUGGUCCGUGAGUUCGAGCCCCGCGUCAGGCU
RNAcentral lists this transfer RNA (85 nucleotides) under Felis catus (domestic cat). It matches the Rfam family "tRNA". Rfam says of the family: Transfer RNA (tRNA) molecules are approximately 80 nucleotides in length. Their secondary structure includes four short double-helical elements and three loops (D, anti-codon, and T loops). Lineage: Eukaryota; Metazoa; Chordata; Mammalia; Carnivora; Felidae. The record is from Rfam by way of RNAcentral.